UCGGUUAUAAGAUCCCUCAAAGAUGAUGAGGUUAAUAGGUUCGAGGUGGAAGCAUGGUGACAUGUGGAGCUGACGAAUACUAAUCGAUCGAAGACUUAAUCAA
RNAcentral lists this ribosomal RNA (103 nucleotides) under Staphylococcus aureus. RNAcentral describes it as "partial 23S ribosomal RNA". It matches the Rfam family "Bacterial large subunit ribosomal RNA", at positions 2822 to 2925 of the family's 2925-position model. The record is from RNAcentral. Lineage: Bacteria; Bacillati; Bacillota; Bacilli; Caryophanales; Staphylococcaceae.